AGUUAGGUCUUCAAAUUCGUUAACAACGUGGUGGUUGGUGGUAUUAGUUCUCUUUGUAUGGAUGCACUUAAUAGGUGCUUUGAUUGCGUCCAGCUAAUACUGGAUAUCACGCAAGCACUACUCAUAAUCGCAUUACAGGUGGUGGUCGGCGGCGGUGGGGCUGGUGGUCCGUGGCGGAGUUUUUUGACGAAACCAGUUUUGGUUUCAUCAAAAUUUUAGUUACGCAGGUAAUGGUAUUGACAGUUGUGGUGCUACUGGGGUGGUAAUGGCGAUGGUGUUGUUGACAUCGGUGGUGGUUGGCGUUGGUGGUGGCUAGUGGUGGUUGGAUUUGUUCGAAGCGGCGACGGUGGUGGUUUUAUGAAUAUUUGAUGGUGGUGGGUGGUGGAUGACGUUACCAUAAGUUGCUGGUUGGUGGUGACGGUGUUAUGUGAGCUGGUCGACGGCAUUGGCGGUGGUCCGCGAUAAUGGUGGUCGGCCACCGUGAUAAUGGUGGUCGGCAUUGGCGAUGGUAGAGUCAAUUCCUAACUUAAGAAGAAGUAUGAGAAGAAGGUGUGGGAGGAGGAAGCAGAGAAAAAAAAUGUGGGGGUACCUUAAUGCUUUGGAAUUACCUUAUAAAAAGGAAGAAGAUUAUAGUCAAUUCCUACCUUCUGGUCAACUGCGGUUGGUAUAAUAUGUCCUUCACCCAUUAUUCAUUUUUUGUCUAAGAUUUGGCUUCUUGGUCCCCAGUUUACAUGUUGAUUGUAGUGCCUUACUGACAUGUAUAUGCCUUUUUGGCUUGGCAAUUUUAUCAUUUGCAAUUUCUGGGUUUACCUUCGUUUCAAAAACUCUUGACUGAAGAAGACAAGAAGGUUUGACUCUGAUACGUGAACUGAAAUUUAUAACCCUAUAUGAUUAUGUUUCAUGAUA
Molecule: long non-coding RNA, 906 nt
Organism: Papaver somniferum (opium poppy)
Lineage: Eukaryota; Viridiplantae; Streptophyta; Magnoliopsida; Ranunculales; Papaveraceae
Exons: 3
Source: RefSeq, a predicted model, not a curated record